This 447-nucleotide ribosomal RNA is filed under the name uncultured bacterium. Its description in RNAcentral is "bacterial SSU rRNA". It matches the Rfam family "Bacterial small subunit ribosomal RNA", at positions 329 to 793 of the family's 1533-position model. The record is from RNAcentral.
CGCCAGACUCCUACGGGAGGCAGCAGUGGGGAAUAUUGGACAAUGGGGGAAACCCUGAUCCAGCGACGCCGCGUGAGUGAAGAAGUAUUUCGGUACGUAAAGCUCUAUCAGCAGGAAAGAAAAUGACGGUACCUGACUAAGAAGCCCCGGCUAACUACGUGCCAGCAGCCGCGGUAAUACGUAGGGGGCAAGCGUUAUCCGGAUUUACUGGGUGUAAAGGGAGCGUAGACGGCAGCGCAAGUCUGGAGUGAAAUGCCGGGGCCCAACCCCGGAACUGCUCUGGAAACUGUGAAGCUGGAGUGCAGGAGAGGUAAGCGGAAUUCCUGGUGUAGCGGUGAAAUGCGUAGAUAUCAGGAGGAACACCGGCGGCGAAGGCGGCUUACUGGACUGUAACUGACGUUGAGGCUCGAAGGCGUGGGGAGUAAACAGGAUUAGAUACCCGGGUAC